Molecule: ribosomal RNA, 484 nt
Filed under: uncultured bacterium
Lineage: Bacteria
Description: partial 16S ribosomal RNA
Rfam family: Bacterial small subunit ribosomal RNA
Source: RNAcentral
AUUGAACGCCGGCGGCAGGCCUAACACGUGCAAGUCGAGCGGAUGAAGGGAGCUUGCUCCUGGAUUCAGCGGCGGACGGGUGAGUAAUGCCUAGGAAUCUGCCUGGUAGUGGGGGAUAACGUCCGGAAACGGGCGCUAAUACCGCAUACGUCCUGAGGGAGAAAGUGGGGGAUCUUCGGACCUCACGCUAUCAGAUGAGCGUAGGUCGGAUUAGCUAGUUGGUGGGGUAAAGGCCUACCAAGGCGACGAUCCGUAACUGGUCUGAGAGGAUGAUCAGUCACACUGGAACUGAGACACGGUCCAGACUCCUACGGGAGGCAGCAGUGGGGAAUAUUGGACAAUGGGCGAAAGCCUGAUCCAGCCAUGCCGCGUGUGUGAAGAAGGUCUUCGGAUUGUAAAGCACUUUAAGUUGGGAGGAAGGGCAGUAAGUUAAUACCUUGCUGUUUUGACGUUACCAACAGAAUAAGCACCGGCUAACUUCGUG